UGGGAUGCUACAUGUGCAGAGACCAUGGCC
RNAcentral lists this non-coding RNA (30 nucleotides) under Mus musculus (house mouse). The record is from RNAcentral. Lineage: Eukaryota; Metazoa; Chordata; Mammalia; Rodentia; Muridae.